AGUGAACGCUGGCGGUAGGCCUAACACAUGCUGGUCGAACGGCAGCACAGUAAGAGCUUGCUCUUACGGGUGGCGAGUGGCGGACGGGUGAGGAAUACAUCGGAAUCUACUUUUUCGUGGGGGAUAACGUAGGGAAACUUACGCUAAUACCGCAUACGACCUACGGGUGAAAGCAGGGGAUCUUCGGACCUUGCGCGAUUGAAUGAGCCGAUGUCGGAUUAGCUAGUUGGCGGGGUAAAGGCCCACCAAGGCGACGAUCCGUAGCUGGUCUGAGAGGAUGAUCAGCCACACUGGAACUGAGACACGGUCCAGACUCCUACGGGAGGCAGCAGUGGGGAAUAUUGGACAAUGGGCGCAAGCCUGAUCCAGCCAUACCGCGUGGGUGAAGAAGGCCUUCGGGUUGUAAAGCCCUUUUGUUGGGAAAGAAAAGCAGCAGGUUAAUACCCCGCUGUUCUGACGGUACCCAAAGAAUAAGCACCGGCUAACUUCGUG
Molecule: ribosomal RNA, 492 nt
Filed under: uncultured bacterium
Lineage: Bacteria
Description: partial 16S ribosomal RNA
Rfam family: Bacterial small subunit ribosomal RNA
Source: RNAcentral